RNAcentral lists this transfer RNA (76 nucleotides) under Desulfamplus sp. RNAcentral's name for it is "tRNA-Val". It matches the Rfam family "tRNA". Rfam says of the family: Transfer RNA (tRNA) molecules are approximately 80 nucleotides in length. Their secondary structure includes four short double-helical elements and three loops (D, anti-codon, and T loops). Further hydrogen bonds mediate the characteristic L-shaped molecular structure. tRNAs have two regions of fundamental functional importance: the anti-codon, which is responsible for specific mRNA codon recognition, and the 3' end, to which the tRNAs corresponding amino acid is attached (by aminoacyl-tRNA synthetases). tRNAs cope with the degeneracy of the genetic code in two manners: having more than one tRNA (with a specific anti-codon) for a particular amino acid; and 'wobble' base-pairing, i.e. permitting non-standard base-pairing at the 3rd anti-codon position. The record is from RNAcentral. Lineage: Bacteria; Pseudomonadati; Thermodesulfobacteriota; Desulfobacteria; Desulfobacterales; Desulfobacteraceae.
AGGUGCGUAACUCAGUUGGUAGAGUGCUACCUCGACAAGGUAGAAGUCAUCGGUUCGAGUCCGAUCGUGCCUACCA